RNAcentral lists this ribosomal RNA (895 nucleotides) under uncultured Bacillota bacterium. RNAcentral describes it as "bacterial SSU rRNA". It matches the Rfam family "Bacterial small subunit ribosomal RNA", at positions 58 to 936 of the family's 1533-position model. The record is from RNAcentral. Lineage: Bacteria; Bacillati; Bacillota.
CAAGUCGAGCGAAGUGUCAGCUGUAGCAAUACAGUAUGUGCUUAGCGGCAGACGGGUGAGUAACACGUAGACAACCUUCCUUCCAGAGGGGGAUAGCUCGCCGAAAGGCGAGGUAAUACCGCGUAAGAUCACGAGCCGGCAUCGGUUUGUGAUGAAACAUCCACAAGGAUGGCUGGGAGACGGGUCUGCGGCCUAUCAGCUAGUUGGUGAGGUAACGGCUCACCAAGGCAACGACGGGUAUCCGGCCUGAAAGGGCGAACGGACACACUGACACUGAGACACGGGUCAGACUCCUACGGGAGGCAGCAGUGAGGAAUCUUGGACAAUAGGGGCAACCCUGAUCCAGCGACGCCGCGUGAAGGAUGAAGGUCUUCGGAUUGUAAACUUCUUUUGUUUGGGAAUAAAAAAUCCAUAGAAAUAUGGAGCUUGAAUGUACCAAGCGAAUAAGCCACGGCUAACUUCGUGCCAGCAGCCGCGGUAAUACGAAGGUGGCAAGCGUUACUCGGAAUUACUAGGCGUAAAGGGCAGGUAGGUGGUCUGAUAAGUCUGUUGUGAAAGCUCCCGGCUUAACUGGGAGAGGUCAACAGAUACUGUCAGGCUUGAGUAUAGGAGAGGGUACUGGAAUUCCCGGUGUAGCGGUGAAAUGCGCAGAUAUCGGGAGGAACACCAAUGGCGAAAGCAGGUACCUGGACUAUUACUGACACUCAGCUGCGAAAGCUAGGGGAGCAAACAGGAUUAGAUACCCUGGUAGUCCUAGCUGUAAACGAUGCACAUUAGGCGUGAGGGGUAUCGACCCCCUUCGUGCCGACGCAAACGCAUUAAAUGUGCCGCCUGGGGAGUACGGCCGCAAGGUUGAAACUCAAAGGAAUUGACGGGGGCCCGCACAAGCGGUGGA